RNAcentral lists this non-coding RNA (128 nucleotides) under Vibrio mytili. RNAcentral describes it as "Ruegeria cis8 sRNA". It matches the Rfam family "Ruegeria cis8 sRNA". From Rfam's summary of the family: Cis-encoded. Targets hypothetical protein. Lineage: Bacteria; Pseudomonadati; Pseudomonadota; Gammaproteobacteria; Vibrionales; Vibrionaceae. The record is from RNAcentral.
ACCGCAAGUAAUUUUGAGAUGUACGGGAUAAGUGGUAAGUUCAGAAUAACCAGCACGAUGUUGCCAAAGUACAUUGAGAUAAUUACCGACCAGAACACAUCUGGGUGUUCAACAAACAGGCGAGGGCC